Non-coding RNA from Xyrichtys novacula (pearly razorfish), 477 nucleotides. The record is from the annotation of a GenBank genome assembly. NCBI's taxonomy places the organism in Eukaryota, Metazoa, Chordata, Actinopteri, Labriformes, Labridae.
AAAUCGGUAAAAGCAACAGGUUCAUUUAAGCCCAGACAAGUUUCAAGAAUUAAGAAGAAGAAAAGAAUACAGGAAGAAGAUCCAAUAUGCAGACCCCUUUAAUAACAAGCAGCCUACGAGGUAUGUGUAUUUUCGUCGAGUUUGUGUCGCGAUUAACACCUCCUAGCUUAAAUGAAUGAAGCGCUAUGCAUUACGCGCCUAAAUUUCUAUGCAAUGAAAACGUUAAUAUUGUGCAGUAUAUGUGUUUUUUACACGCAGUUAUGCAUGGGUUGGGAAAUUCGUAGUAUGAUUCGAAUUUGAUUAACUAUUUUGUGUUCUAUGGCGUGGAAGCUACAUUUAUGAUAACAGCCAUUUCAUUCAAUUUAUUGUGUAUUUGUUUCCACUUAUCUUCACAGACUACUCACAGGAUUGGUCUUAGACCCCGUAUUUUAAUCAAGAUCUUGUGACUCAUGCUGUUAUUGGAGGGAGCUGCAUCAG